UCAAGCUACAAAGAGCACAAGGGGAAUGCCUUGGCACCGAGAGCCGAAGAAGGACGUGACUAACUGCGAUAAGCUACGGGGAGCUGCACAUAUCUCUACUAAUACCUAUGUUGCUUCCCUUUUUUUGGGGGGGAGCAACAUAGAUUGUCUAAACCGAAAGGGUAUUUUUACCGCCUGAACUGAAACAUCUAAGUAGGGCGAGGAAGAAAAAUCAACAGAGAUUCCGUAAGUAGUGGCGAGCGAACGCGGAAGAGGCCAAACCUAAUGUAGUAAUAUGUUAGGGGUUCGGACAGUAUAAUGAAUUGUCGAGAUUUAGCCGAAUGUCAUGGGAAGGGCAAUCAAAGAAGGUGAAAAUCCUGUAGGCGAAAAGUUAAGACAUCAGACUGUAUCCAGAGUACCGCCGGACACGUGAAACCCGGUGGGAAUACGGGGGGACCAUCCUCCAAGCCUAAAUACUACUCGGUGACCGAUAGAGAAGAAGUACUGUGAAGGAAAGGUGAAAAGCACCCCGGAAGGGGAGUGAAAGAGAACCUGAAACCUUGUGUUUACAAGCACCGAAAGUUCAUCAACGAACGAUCGGGUACCUUUUGUAGAAUGGUCCGGCGAGUGAAUGUAACUGGCAAGGUUAAGCACUUAAGGUGUGAAGCCGUAGCGAGAGCGAGUCUGAAAAGGGCGCAUGAAGUCAGUUGUAUUCGACCCGAAACCGGGUGACCUACCCAUGUCCAGGCUGAAGUGCAGGUAAAACUUCAUGGAGGGCCGAACCGACUCCCGUUGAAAUGGUAGCGGAUGAGGUGUGGGUAGCGGAGAAAUUCCAAUCGAACCCGGAGAUAGCUGGUUCUCUCCGAAAUAGCUUUAGGGCUAGCCUUGGAAUAGAUUACUGGAGGUAAAGCACUGAAUUGGCUAGGGGCCGAGAGGUUACUGAACCUUAUCAAACUAAGAAUGCCAGAUAAUCGUUUUCCAGGAGUCAGACAGUGGGAGAUAAGUUUCAUUGUCAAAAGGGAAACAGCCCAGACCUACAGCUAAGGUCCCAAAGUAUAGUUAAGUGGAAAAGGAUGUGGAAUUGCAUAGACAACCAGGAUGUUGGCUUAGAAGCAGCCACUCAUUAAAAGAGUGCGUAAUAGCUCACUGGUCGAGUGAUUCUGCGCCGAAAAUUUAACGGGGCUAAACUAUACACCGAAGCUUAGGAUACCGCAAGGUAUGGUAGGAGAGCGUUCUGUACGGAGUGAAGUCGUAGCGAAAGCGGCGGUGGACUGUACAGAAGUGAGAAUGCCGGAAUAAGUAGCGAGAAUUAAGUGAGAAUCUUAAUGGCCGAAAGUCUAAGGUUUUUGGAGGAAGGUUCGUCCGCUCCAAGUAAGUCGGGAGCUAAGGUCAGGCCGAAAGGCGUAGCCGAUGCACAAACGGUUGAUAUUCCGUUACCGUCUACAAUUUAAACAAAGGGACACAUACAAAGCGUUUAACCCGGGCGAUGGUUGACCCGGGCGCAAGGGACUGAAAUAAGAGUAGGGAAGUAAAUGUGGCGUAUGGCGAGAAAAGCUUUGUGAAUAGAAGUAGACGCCCGUACCGCAAACCGACACAGGUGGACAGGAAGAGAAUUCUAAGGCCAGCGGGAGAAGGGUAGUUAAGGAACUCGGCAAAUUGACUCCGUAACUUCGGAAUAAGGAGUGCUCGAAAGAGCCGCAGAGAAUAGGCCCAGGCGACUGUUUAGCAAAAACACAGGUCUCUGCCAAAUCGAAAGAUGAAGUAUAGGGGCUGACACCUGCCCGGUGCCGGAAGGUUAAGAGGAGGAGUGCAAGCUCCGAAUUGAAGCCCCGGUAAACGGCGGCCGUAACUAUAACGGUCCUAAGGUAGCGAAAUUCCUUGUCGGGUAAGUU
RNAcentral lists this ribosomal RNA (1871 nucleotides) under human gut metagenome. RNAcentral's name for it is "bacterial LSU rRNA". It matches the Rfam family "Bacterial large subunit ribosomal RNA", at positions 3 to 1982 of the family's 2925-position model. The record is from RNAcentral.